Molecule: non-coding RNA, 458 nt
Filed under: Pan troglodytes (chimpanzee)
Lineage: Eukaryota; Metazoa; Chordata; Mammalia; Primates; Hominidae
Source: RNAcentral
AGUGUCAGCCACGUCUAGCGCACAGUCCCAGGCCCCAGGGCGAAGACGGCCAGGGGAAAUGGGGCUCAGGGCUUGCUAAGCAAACGCAUCACUGGUGGUCUCCAGCGCCUGCGGAGCAUCAAGCUUAUGAAGAUUUCCAAGUAAGACUUUAUUGUUGACCCUUGUUGAAGAGAACUCUACUUGGCUUCUUUCCUGGCUUUCCUAAAUUGUUCACAUACAAGAUAAACUACCGUCAUUCAGACUUACAGAAGUGAGAAGACAAGCUGAACCAAAUGUAAAAUGGUAGCAAUUUACAGGUAAUUCUGUAUCUUAAUUUCUCCCACAUUUUUAGGGUAAAAAAUUGUGAUAUAUGGGGGUUAUUUGGAUCAAGUGUUUUCUAAGUAGAACUUUGUCAUAAUUAAUUUUAUGUAUUUAUAGUAGUUCUCCCUGUGUCCCUUUAUCCAAGCAACACAAUACAA